Molecule: ribosomal RNA, 393 nt
Filed under: uncultured bacterium
Lineage: Bacteria
Description: partial 16S ribosomal RNA
Rfam family: Bacterial small subunit ribosomal RNA
Source: RNAcentral
AUACGGAGGCUCCGAGCGUUAUCCGGAUUUAUUGGGUUUAAAGGGAGCGCAGGCGGAGAUGCAAGCGUGACGUCAAAUUUCGGGGCUCAACCCCGUCUCGCGUCGCGAACUGCGUCCCUUGGUUGCGGGAAGGGGAGGCGGAACUCGCGGUGUAGCGGUGAAAUGCAUAGAUAUCCCGAAGAACUCCGAUGGCGAAGGCAGCCUUCCGGCCCGUCAACGACGCUCAUGCUCGAAGGUGCGGGUAUCAAACAGGAUUAGAUACCCUGGUAGUCCGCACAGUAAACGAUGGACACCCGCGGUUUGGCCUAUAUGGCUGAGCCGCCAAGCGAAAGCGUUAAGUGUCCCACCUGGGGAGUACGCCGGCAACGGUGAAACUCAAAGGAAUUGACGGGG